This 1446-nucleotide ribosomal RNA is filed under the name uncultured organism. RNAcentral's name for it is "SSU rRNA". It matches the Rfam family "Bacterial small subunit ribosomal RNA". The record is from RNAcentral.
CGCUUUCUACAGGCUUAACACAUGCAAGUCGAGGGGCAGCAUGGUCUUAGCUUGCUAAGGCCGAUGGCGACCGGCGCACGGGUGAGUAACACGUAUCCAACCUGCCGUCUACUCUUGGACAGCCUUCUGAAAGGAAGAUUAAUACAAGAUGGCAUCAUGAGUCCGCAUGUUCACAUGAUUAAAGGUAUUCCGGUAGACGAUGGGGAUGCGUUCCAUUAGAUAGUAGGCGGGGUAACGGCCCACCUAGUCUUCGAUGGAUAGGGGUUCUGAGAGGAAGGUCCCCCACAUUGGAACUGAGACACGGUCCAAACUCCUACGGGAGGCAGCAGUGAGGAAUAUUGGUCAAUGGGCGAGAGCCUGAACCAGCCAAGUAGCGUGAAGGAUGACUGCCCUAUGGGUUGUAAACUUCUUUUAUAAAGGAAUAAAGUCGGGUAUGGAUACCCGUUUGCAUGUACUUUAUGAAUAAGGAUCGGCUAACUCCGUGCCAGCAGCCGCGGUAAUACGGAGGAUCCGAGCGUUAUCCGGAUUUAUUGGGUUUAAAGGGAGCGUAGAUGGAUGUUUAAGUCAGUUGUGAAAGUUUGCGGCUCAACCGUAAAAUUGCAGUUGAUACUGGAUAUCUUGAGUGCAGUUGAGGCAGGCGGAAUUCGUGGUGUAGCGGUGAAAUGCUUAGAUAUCACGAAGAACUCCGAUUGCGAAGGCAGCCUGCUAAGCUGCAACUGACAUUGAGGCUCGAAAGUGUGGGUAUCAAACAGGAUUAGAUACCCUGGUAGUCCACACGGUAAACGAUGAAUACUCGCUGUUUGCGAUAUACUGCAAGCGGCCAAGCGAAAGCGUUAAGUAUUCCACCUGGGGAGUACGCCGGCAACGGUGAAACUCAAAGGAAUUGACGGGGGCCCGCACAAGCGGAGGAACAUGUGGUUUAAUUCGAUGAUACGCGAGGAACCUUACCCGGGCUUAAAUUGCAGAUGAAUUACGGUGAAAGCCGUAAGCCGCAAGGCAUCUGUGAAGGUGCUGCAUGGUUGUCGUCAGCUCGUGCCGUGAGGUGUCGGCUUAAGUGCCAUAACGAGCGCAACCCUUGUUGUCAGUUACUAACAGGUUCCGCUGAGGACUCUGACAAGACUGCCAUCGUAAGAUGUGAGGAAGGUGGGGAUGACGUCAAAUCAGCACGGCCCUUACGUCCGGGGCUACACACGUGUUACAAUGGGGGGUACAGAGGGCCGCUACCACGCGAGUGGAUGCCAAUCCCCAAAACCUCUCUCAGUUCGGACUGGAGUCUGCAACCCGACUCCACGAAGCUGGAUUCGCUAGUAAUCGCGCAUCAGCCACGGCGCGGUGAAUACGUUCCCGGGCCUUGUACACACCGCCCGUCAAGCCAUGGGAGCCGGGGGUACCUGAAGUGCGUAACCGCGAGGAGCGCCCUAGGGUAAAACUGGUGACUGGGGCUAA